RNAcentral lists this unclassified non-coding RNA (166 nucleotides) under soil metagenome. RNAcentral's name for it is "partial contains 5.8S ribosomal RNA, internal transcribed spacer 2, and large subunit ribosomal RNA". The record is from RNAcentral.
AACGCACGAGACCUGCGGACCUGCGGAGGGAUCAUUAGUGAACGCCCUCACGGGCUUAUAACUAUUCCAAACCUCUGUGAACCGUGCCCCUCGGGGCUAUUUUACAAACAUGGUGUAAUGAACGUCAUAUAUCAUAACAAAACAAAACUUUUAACAAUGGAUCUCU